UACAGAGGGUGCAAGCGUUGUUCGGAAUUACUGGGCGUAAAGCGCGUGUAGGCGGCUUAUUAAGUCGGACGUGAAAUCCCUUGGCUCAACUGAGGAACUGCGUCCGAUACUACUAGGCUUGAGUGUCGGAGGGGGUGGCGGAAUUCCUGGUGUAGAGGUGAAAUUCGUAGAUAUCAGGAGGAACACCUGUGGCGAAGGCGGCCACCUGGAAGACAACUGACGCUGAGACGCGAAAGCGUGGGGAGCAAACAGG
This 253-nucleotide ribosomal RNA is filed under the name uncultured bacterium. RNAcentral describes it as "partial 16S ribosomal RNA". It matches the Rfam family "Bacterial small subunit ribosomal RNA", at positions 524 to 776 of the family's 1533-position model. The record is from RNAcentral.